Molecule: unclassified non-coding RNA, 300 nt
Rfam family: Eukaryotic small subunit ribosomal RNA (bases 1-46)
AAGUCGUAACAAGGUUUCCGUAGGUGAACCUGCGGAAGGAUCAUUAACACGAAUUAUUUUAUUAUCCAAUAUCAAAAACCAAACGUGAACCUUUUUCCUCCCUAUAUAUAUCAUAUAUCUCUAUGUGCUAUAUGUAGGCUAACCUCAACUAUAUAAAUUUUAACACUAUAAACUUCAACUAGUUUUAAUUUAGCUAUUAAAACAUCUAAACUAAAAAAGACAAGGUUAUUCGAAAGAGUAAACUUUAACUUUUUUCGAUUUACGAAAAAUUUAAAAGAACAACUCUUAACAAUGGAUAUC